This 307-nucleotide small nuclear RNA is filed under the name Castor canadensis (American beaver). Its description in RNAcentral is "7SK RNA (ENSCCNG00000016447.1)". It matches the Rfam family "7SK RNA". Rfam says of the family: 7SK was discovered as an abundant small nuclear RNA in the mid-70s but a possible function has only recently been suggested. Lineage: Eukaryota; Metazoa; Chordata; Mammalia; Rodentia; Castoridae. The record is from RNAcentral.
GGAUGUGAGGGCAAUCUGGCUGUGACAUCUGUCACCCCAUUGAUCGCCAGGGUUGAUUCGGCUGAUCUGGCUGGCUAGGCGGGUGUCCCCUUCCUCCCUCACCACUCCAUGUGCGUCCCUCCCGAAGCUGCGCGCUCGGUCGAAGAGGACGACCAUCCCCGAUAGAGGAGGACCGUUCUUCGGUCAAGGGUAUACGAGUAGCUGCGCUCCCCUGCUAGAACCUCCAAACAAGUUCUCAAAAAGCUAAGUACAAAUUGCCAAAAACAAAACAAAAAAACCCAGCAACUCUAUUCCUAAAUGUGUAACU